UCCCUGGUGGCUCAGAUGGUAAAGUAUCUGCCUGCAAUGCGGGAGACCUGGGUUCGAUCCCUGGGUUGGGAA
This 72-nucleotide transfer RNA is filed under the name Capra hircus (goat). It matches the Rfam family "tRNA". Rfam says of the family: Transfer RNA (tRNA) molecules are approximately 80 nucleotides in length. The record is from Rfam by way of RNAcentral. RNAcentral also lists the same sequence under 1 other name. Lineage: Eukaryota; Metazoa; Chordata; Mammalia; Artiodactyla; Bovidae.